This 118-nucleotide non-coding RNA is filed under the name bovine gut metagenome. RNAcentral describes it as "yjdF RNA". It matches the Rfam family "azaaromatic riboswitch aptamer (yjdF RNA)", at positions 5 to 92 of the family's 101-position model. The record is from RNAcentral.
ACAAAGAUAAAAACGCAACGUGCGCCGUCUGGCGUGCCAGAGCCGGUAGGUAGCCCGGCCGUCUUGCGAAAGCAAGGUAAGUAACCUGCCCCUCCAGGGUUGUCCGUUCUUUGUCCAA